Long non-coding RNA from Archocentrus centrarchus (flier cichlid), 483 nucleotides. RefSeq lists it as uncharacterized. The transcript is spliced from 5 exons. The record is from RefSeq and is a predicted model, not a curated record. NCBI's taxonomy places the organism in Eukaryota, Metazoa, Chordata, Actinopteri, Cichliformes, Cichlidae.
ACAGGUUCUGCGAGUUGUUUGGGCCCACCACUUCUAUGCUGUGCUAACCAGAAUAACAGCUGUUUCAGGGGGUGUUACUGUGAUGAGAUCUGUGUGAAAUUGAAUGACUGCUGUACUGACUACAUUUCAGCCUGUAACCAAUCAGCAACCAAUAACACAUCUGCAAUGAGCACGACCCCAGCAACCACUGUCCCAUCAACACAUUCAUCCGUCUCUACUGAGCGAGCUACAGGAGCUAGCUCAGGAAGCAACAGUACUCCAACUCCAACAAAUCUCCCCACUUCAGCAUCCACAGUGUUGGUUCACCUAAGAGUUUCUGUUCUAUCCUACCAUGAGGACAAGCAACAAGCGAUUUCAGAGGUUUCAUUGUUUCUUCGGACACGUUUCCAGCAGAUUUGUCAUGGCUGCACAGUGAUGAUCAAUCCCACAUGAUAAAGAGCAUUUUCUUUGGGCAAUGAAUGCAUGAAUAUGACUAAGCCAGCA